UCUCGGCUUAUCACCGGCAGUCCCCCUAGAGUGCCCAACUUAAUGCUGGCAACUAGGGGCGAGGGUUGCGCUCGUUGCGGGACUUAACCCAACAUCUCACGACACGAGCUGACGACAGCCAUGCAGCAUCUGUGGUGCACCCUCGAAGGUCACACGUUUCCGUGCGCUUGCAGCACCAUGUCAAGCCUAGGUAAGGUUCUUCGCGUUGCAUCGAAUUAAGCCACAUGCUCCGCCGCUUGUGCGGGCCCCCGCCAAUUCCUUUGAGUUUUAGCCUUGCGACCGUACUCCCCAGGCGGGGCACUUAAUGCGUUAGCUGCGGCACCCAGGGGGUCAAUACCCCGGACACCUAGUGCCCAUCGUUUACAGCGUGGACUAC
This 376-nucleotide unclassified non-coding RNA is filed under the name uncultured bacterium. Its description in RNAcentral is "contains 16S-23S intergenic spacer region". The record is from RNAcentral.